UGAUGAAGCUCUCAUGUCAUCAGCUUUUGUUCGUAAAUUGUAAAACUUUAAAGUGCUUGUAUGUUAGCAGCAAAUACCAACUUUGUUUAGCUCUAAUAAUAAUUAAAUUUGUAAUGAUAAAAAUAAUAAUAUGUUAAAUAUAAAAAUGAAUAAAUGUAUGCAUCACUUUCACUUAAACACUCGUUAAGAAAUUGUUUAAUAAGUAUCCCUUGUCUUCCUUUCCCAUCUCUUUGAAGUCUCCCGACCAUCUCUAUAUGCAGCAUAAAUGAUGAGCAGCUCCCCAUCAACGAGGACCUGGGUCCUCAAAGGCCAACUCAAAAACAACAAUCUCUACGUCUAUGGAGCCUGGACUGCAGAAACUGAGAAACCUCCAACUCCAAGCUCCCUGGUUCGGUGCAACUUGGACUUUCUGGGAAGGGCAUUAAAUACCCAACCACCAUAUUUAUUUUGGCCACUCCACUCCAGUAAUCAUUUGACUCUGGCAGCCAAACCAAUACGAAAGUCAAGUUGAUGGGAUGGGGGUCAAAAUUCAUGCACCAAGCAAUCUACGCUGCUAAACCCAAGACCAUUCUUCAGCUUGAUGAGCCCAAUGACCAGAGCCAAUGCUGUACGACUAGCUCCAUGAAACCCAAAAUGCAGCAAGAAACUCAUUGUAACGCCCCACUUUUGUUGUGUUUAGAUUGUUAAAGUAUGUUAAAUAAUUUAAUUUGGUAUGUGGUUAAGUGUCUAAAUGUUUGUUUUAGGUCUUGAGUUUAAUUCUUUUAUUUUGGAUUUUUUUUUAUUAAUUUUGAUAUUAUGUUAAGCUUGACUUUUUGGGCUUAUCUUUUAUUUUUAUUAGAUUGUUGAUAAGUAUAAGCUUACUGGUAUACUAAACCGUCCAUUAUCCUCUCUCCCCCUUUCACGUUUUUUAUCCCUGUUAUUGUUUUCUAUUUGGUUCUUACCUUUUUUCUUUUUUCUUUUUUUCUCUUUGAGCUUUUUCCUUUUCUUUUGCUUUGAAUCUCCGAUUUCGAUUAUAAUCCAAGGAUAGCGUAAGUUUUGUUAAAUUAUUUUGUUUUUAUUUUAGUGUUAAUUUAACUGAUAAAAUUUUAUACUAUUCAAAUGAUGAAAUUAUAUUUUUAUUAUUAUAAAAACUAAAAUUUAAUUUCAACCUUUCUAAAAAUAUUUUCUACCGUACCGUUCAUAAACAUGGCAUCAUAAGUCGAACAAAAUUUAUAUAAAUUUAAAAAAAAUUUAAACACGGUUAUGGAAUCAGAUUAUGCUUCCACGUGACAUUGAGGAAUUGUAUGUUCGUAACUGCUCUUUAUGUUGUCAUGAAAACUACCCGCUUUUCUCCAGGUUUGUCCUAACCUCUCUUACAUAUCUUGAAAUAAGGGAUGAAAAAAUUAUGAAAAAAUUGUUCUCUCCAAACUGCGUGCCGUUAAAUUUGGAAGUGCUUGAGGUUUCAUUACGUGUCCAACUGGAGGAAAUAAUAGCAUUAGAUUUUGAAUGGGACGGAAGAGGAAUGCCUACCAUGGAAUUUUGCCUUCUAAAAUUAAACAUACUUACCUGAAUUGAAGAGUAUUUGCAAUGUUGAUGCAGUGGUGGUUUGUGAAUCUCUUAAAUGGAUUGACGUAAUAGAUUGUCGGAAAAUAAAAAGUAUUUAGUCUUCCCCAAAUCUGAUCAUCUUCACCGGCUCUCUCAUUUUCUAUUUAUGUAGCGGGAGAGGAGUGACAUUGGCAUUACUUAUAUUUUCUUGUUUCUAGGCAACUUUGAUGAAUGCAAUUGCAAGCUGUAUUAUAUAUUUGAACCAAACCUCAUUUGUAAUAAGCUUUGGUUAUUGUAUUUUGAUGCUUGUUUCUGGUGUCUUCCUUUUCCAUUCAAUACUUUUCCUUCAUAAUAUUCUAUAUCAACAAAACGCUAUACAUGUUGGAAAAAUUAUGAUAUUUCAAAGGAAUCAAAUCUCAUAUUCUUAAACAAAGAUUUUGAGACAUUUGUUUAUAAAUCUUUAUACUUCGUGAGUUAGAGGUAAUCAAGUUGAGAAGGUAGAUUAUUGUGCAUUAGAUUCAAAAAGUUAUUGUAAUGGAUUUUUGAAUCUUCUAGUUUUUAAGAAUAUAUUUUUUUUAGAAUUUUUAGAGUCCAAGAAAAAUAAAAUUUUUAGCUAAUAAAACUUAUAUUUAUCCAAGUUAUAAAUAACUUAAUCCAUUGAAAUUAUUUUUAGUUAAAUCCAAAUUCAUUGAACUAUUUUCAAACUAUUUCACUUACCUUUGCUAUUUUUAGUCAAUAAAAUUCUUAUAUAUAUGGUUGGAAGCCAAUGCAACUUUUGGAUAAAAGCCAAAUUUAUCCUUUAAAAGAUAUAUUUUUUUUUGGAAGAUUCAAGAAUAUAAAAUAAAGAAAUAGGAUAUUAUCUAUAAGACUAGAUAUUAUACAUGAAUAUUCUAGUUUUUAAAUAUUUGUAAAAUUAAUAGUAAGGAUAUUGACAUGUAUCAACAAUCCAACGGCCACUAAACUCUAUAAAUAGGGGUAAGGGCUUUCAUUCUUGUAAUGAUGUAAGAAAGAAGUGUGUAUCAUAUUAUAAUUGUAUUGUGUAUUAAUAAGAGUGUUUUCUUCUUUUGUAAUUGUAAGUCUCAGUUAAACCUUAAGGGUUUGUUUGGUUGGGUGUAAUGGCUAAUCCAUUACACCCCGAAUCGGUGGCCCCACUGAAUACAGCGUUUGGUUCGUUGUUUUCUCUAAUACUGUUCUAAUCCGUUGCGGACGGAUUCCGCAUUUUGGCUGCUUCACCACUGAUUUGUAAUCCCUUGCAACAGCAAAGAUUAGCUAAUCGGUGUCUUAUUUACCCUCCCCUUGCCGAAAUCGCCUCCAGCCGACCCUCUCCCUCCCAACAUAAACAGAACGUGCCAACGAACCAAACCUCUACCCGCUCCCGAUUUCAGCUUUGCAUCCUUCUCCGACUCAAUGGUGUCAGAUCUCCGGACGGCUUGAAUCAGUAAUCUCUGCCAAACUUAUAACCUAUUUCUUUCCUCUUUGCAUGCGAUUGUUUCAGUCCUUGGUAAAUCGGCGUUUCGUUUCUUGCCGGUUAUGGUUUUUUUUUCAUUGUUUGUUUGUUUGUCCUGAAUUACAGGUUCUUUGCUCCAACAUUUUUCAUAUUCUGUCUGCUUUAUGUUUCUUUAUUUUGCUUACUGUCUUGGAUGAUUUUUCUUGACAGUCUUGUUAAUAUCAUUUUAUUUUGCUGCUGACUGUCUGCUUUAUGUUUCUUUCCAUAGGUUUAGUUGUUUGAUGAAAGUACUGGGGUUAACUGAUGCAUAAUCAAAUUUAGACGUUGCUUAAAUCACAAAUUUUAUUUAUUUGUUUGGUUUUCUUUCUUGAAAUUCAAUUCUUUUACUUGGUAACAAAUAGUGCAGCUUAGAAAGGAAUAUGAUUUGUUGAUGUUCUAUUUCUGUAGUGGUUUUUUGUUUCUCUAUUUUCUGUUUCUGUACCAUGUUUUGUUCCUUUUACCAUUUUUGCUUUUGUAGCUUAAUUUAUUAUCAAUGAUCAGCAUGUUCUCUUGUGUAGCCAUUUUAUUUAGCAUGUUUUGUUUCUCUAUCAUUUACACACUGUUGUUACUGAAAAUUAAAUCUAAAUUCAACCGAAUGACAUGGAAUUAUACAACAACUAACUUCAAAUAAAAACAUGAUUUUAAUCCAUUGUUAGAAGUUAAUAAUCCUUUUCCUCACUUAUAAACCAUGAACGCAUAUCAGUAGUGGGACAUUUGUAGAGAAAUUAAUAGAUCUGUUCCAACUGAUAUUCCUAGAGGUCUCAUAUUCUUGUUUGUGUUCCAACUUGUCAAGGAAAGGCUAGAUUUUGUAUUUCCAUUUAAAUAAUCUUCUUGACCUUAAUUUGUUUGUCAUUUGGCAUUGUGCAUUGUUAAAGGCUUGUUGUCAGUAUUUCAUAAUUUUCCUUAUAAUUUUCCCAUCCAUUAAUUUUUGGUUUUCUAUAAUUCUUUAAUAUUGUCUCAAGUUCCCAUCUGCAGUUUAAUAUAUUGAUUAUGUAAUCCACACAUCAUUAUCUAUCAAACUAAAGCAGUAGAGACAAGAUUGUGAAAUAUUAAAACUAGUCCAACCAGCUCAUGAUAUUGUUAUGAUGAAAGUACUUGCUGUGCAUUUUUCUUAGUCAUUUAAAUGAAUAAACUCAUUUAACAAUCUUGUGCUUUUCCAUGACAGAAAUAAGAAUAUUAUUUAUCUUUUGUAAUUAAAUUAUCUUUGAAAGGCUGUAUGAGAAUAUGUAUGUAAGCAAACUCUAAUUGCACUGGUAUUCCAUUUUCAUUUUUGUGAAAACAUGUUUAUUUUUCUAGUCAAAUGCCUAGAUGAUGGUUCUUGUCUUUAGAUUUCAAGGUUGUUAAAUCAGAAAACAACAUGCAUCUGUUAUUUAUUCAGACCGAACAUAAAUCGGUUAUGGUUUUUUUUUCAUUGUUUGUUUGUUUGUCCUGAAUUACAGGUUCUUUGUUGCUGCAGUUCAUCAUCGGUCUCCUCUCCGAUUUCCUCAUUACAGGUUAGUUUCCCCCCAUUGCUUGUGGCUAUACAAUUGUUUGCAAUGGCUAUAUAAUUUAUUUGCAGUGGCUCCAUCUGCUUGAUCAGUCAGAAAUGAAAACAAAGGACUAUGAAUGCUCAUGUCCUGUUUGGAUUUGUAUGCUUUUUGAUAUUUUUGUUGAAUAGAAACACUCUGAUAUUCUUUCAUGGCUACUGCAAUGUUGAAGUGCAUAUAAUGAGCUCUAGAAUGUCAUGCAUAGUCCUGGUGCUGUUAAUUUUGAAUGCUUUGAAAUGGCUUUGUUAAUUUGGUACUGUUAAUGCUUUGAUACAAAUGAAAUGGUGCAACUGUCGAAUAUUUAUGGUUAUAUGUCUACCUUAAAAGAUGUUUUAUAAAUUGUUUUCAUUCAUUAAAAAAACCAGGUUAUAAUUUAAAAAGGUGGUCAUAUGUUAUAUUCCUUUGUCCCCAAAACCAUUAAUGAGUACUAUAUAAUUUAAAAAGGGCAUCAAACUUUUGUACCAAUUCUUGUAUUAAAAAGGAAAUUCAUGGACAGAAUGUUGUUAUAAAAAGGAGCAAUAUAUAAUUUGGUACUUGUGUUUUUUCUUUUUUUAAUCUAUUGUUUGUAUUUGAUAAAUAUUUUGAUACUUAAAGAUAAUGGUGUACCAAUUCUUCGUUAUAAUUUAAAAAGGACAUCAAACUUUAGUACCAAUUCUUGUAUUAAUAUCAAUUAUGAUAAAAAUAUAACGAUUUUGAUACUUUCAAAGAUCUCGUUCAAAUUUAAUCAUUAUUAAAAUAAAUUGUGCUAACUUUAAGCUGAAAUAAAAAUUUUAUUUAUGUUAUUUAAGGUAUAUUAAAAUAUAAUUAAAAUCAUUUUGAUUAUAUAAUAUUUUUAAUUGAAAUAUAAUUAAAAUCAUUUUGAUUAUAUAAUAUUAAUAUAAAACUAUACAUUUAAAUUGAAAAUAUAAAUAAAACAUGGCAUAACAAUUAAAUUUUAAUAUUAAUAGAAAAAAUAUUUAUUAUUGAUAUUAAUAAUUCAAAAUUUUUUUCCAUAAUAUUUUUACCUGUGUGUUAUAAAUUAUUUAUUACUUAUGGAGUGUUUACCUCUUUAUUAUUAUUUGAUUACAAAAUAUUAUCAUUUUCUAUAUGUUAAACACAAUAUAUUAUUAAUUCAUUUUAUUUAUCUUUAAAAUAUUAAAUUUGUUAAUAGCUAUCAAUCAUUUAUGCAAAUUUUUACUAAUAAUUUUACUAAUUAAAAAUAAACACGUGCCAUCUUGAUUCUUUUAGAUUCAAGUUAUCCCCCAUAUAAUCCUAUCAACUCCCCCAAAAUUAAUAACCUAGUUGCUCGCAUUUUUAAUUUGUUUGUCUCUCAAUUAUUUUUAUAAAAUUUAAUUUGCAUCUUCAAUUCUUUGAUAGUGUGUUCUAAAUUAAUAUUGUUUAAUUUUUUUUAUAAAGUGUAAUUGCAACUUCAACUCUUUGAUAGUGUGUUCUAAUUUUAAUAUGUUGCAGUAAUGGCUCGUCUGCCUUUAAUUGCACAAAGUGUGAGGCGAAAAAGAAUUGGUAUUGCAUUGACAUUAUGGUUGGAACUCUGUAGAAUUGCGAUUUGGUUCUUAUUUAGAAUGGGUGCCAGCCUUAGCCUACAUACUUAUAGACCAAGGAUUAGGUCCUAUACCUUAGAUUUUUAUGCAAAACGGGAUUAUGUGAAAAGGCUUGUAUAUGCUAGUGACGAGACCUGUGUUUCACAAGUUAGGAUGAAUAGAACCGCCUUUUUUAAAUUAUGUGAGAUGUUAGAAUCAAUAGGGGGAUUGAAGUCGUCAAGAAACAUACUGGUUGAUGAGCAAGUAGCAAUGUUUUUACAUAUCAUCUCCCAUCACCUGAAAAAUCGAGUUAUCAAGCAUCACUUUAGAAGGUCCGGGGAAACUGUUAGCAGAGCAUUUCAUAGUGUUUUAAAUGCUGUCAUACGCUUACAAGAUGUCUUAUUUAAAAAGCUGGAGCCAAUUACAGCUGAUUCUUCUGACACAAGGUGGAAAUGGUUUAAGGUAUUAGACUGAGUUUUAUAUAUAGCUUGUACAACAUUUACUUGACUUAGAUUUAAGUUAGUAUUCUAACUCAAGGUUUUAUAUCAUGUGAUAUAGAAUUGCUUAGGUGCUCUUGAUGGAACCCACAUCAAGAUUAGGGUGCCAAAAAUAGAUAAAGCUAGAUAUCGAACCCGAAAAGGGGACAUAGCAACAAACAUGCUAGGUGUUUGUACACCUGAGAUGCAAUUUGUUUAUGUUCUUCCUGGUUGGGAAGGUUCAGUUGCCGAUGGACGGGUGCUUCGAGAUGCCAUUAGUAGAAGACAUAGACUAAAAGUUCCUCAUGGUACAGUGUAUAGUUAGAGGAAUUUGAAUUAUUCAUUUAGCCUACAUACUUUGUUUGCUGAAUUAAUCAUGUUGGGUAAAAUUUAUUUUAUAGGUUGUUAUUAUCUAGUUGAUGCUGGAUACACAAAUUCUGAGGGAUUUCUUGCACCAUUUAGAGGACAGCGAUAUCAUCUGAAGGACUGGCGUCAGGGUUAUCAGCCAAGUUCCCCGCAAGAGUUUUUUAAUAUGAAACAUGCCUCAGCACGUAAUGUCAUUGAAAGAUGCUUUGGCUUAUUAAAACUUAGAUGGGGAAUACUUAGGAGUCCAUCGUUUUAUCCUGUACGAGUGCACAAUAGAAUUAUUAUAGCAUGUUGUUUGCUACAUAAUUUUAUUCGAACUCAUAUGAGUAUUGAUCCCAUUGAAGCGGAGGUGGGAGAAGGAUUACCUACUAAUGUGGUGGAUGACGAUGAACAGAAUAUCACAAAUAUUCAUCCAUCGGAUGCUUGGGCUACUUGGAGGAUGGAACUAGCCACCCAAAUGUUCGAUGAAUGGCAAGCAUCUAGAAAUUAGUUAGGUUUAGGGACAAAUUGAGUUUGAAUUGAUUUGUUGAUGUUAUUUUAUGUAUCUAGUUUAUGAAACUUUGGUGGUCUUUGAUACAAAUUUUGUAUUGUACUAAACUUGGUUGAAUUAUAAUUUAAUUAUCUUUUCAUUCAGCAUGUGUUAUAAAUUUAAAUUUAGUAUUGAACUACCGAUAUAAUAUUAUAAACUGUUAACCUUUUGAUUCAUGAUAUUCAAAAUAGUAAAAUAAUGUUAAUUUGUUUUUUUUCUUAAGAACAAUAUGUCAGGUGUUCCACCAACGGGUGCUUCUUCUCAAGCUUCUCGAGGGAGCAAAAGAAAAUGGGUUCCAGAAGAGGAUGCAGCCUUGGUUUCUUGCAUGGUGGAUUUACACAAUGUAGAAGCAUUUAAUGCUGAUACCGGGUUCAAAGCCGGUUAUUUGAACGAGCUAGAGAAAAUGCUAGAAAAGGCUUUACCAACAGCAAUGUUGAAGGCGAAACCAAAUAUUGAAUCUCGGAUUAGGUGCCUAAAAAGGGAAUGGUCAGUCGUCUACGACAUGCUUAAUGGCCAAAACAACAGUGGUUUUGGUUGGGACGAGCAUAGGCAGCUCGUUGUUGCUGAAGAUGCAGUUUGGGAAUCCUAUGUAAAGGUAAAAUGUAUUUCAAGUAUUCAUUUGUUUUUUUACAAAACUUAUAACUAAUAUGAUUUCCUCAUUUUUUUAGAGUCACAAAGAAGCCUCUCAGUUCAGACAUCGUACUUUCCCUUACUACAACCAGCUUACUGCGAUAUACGCAAGAGAUCGGGCGACUGGGAAAGACGCUCAAACAACUGCUGAUGUUCUUGAAGAAAUACAUGCUGAGGAUGAACGUACUACAGAUAUGAAUGAAGAGAGAAACACAUUCUAUGACUGCGAAGCUGAGGUCUCUUUAGACGACAUGGAUGUUUCUGGUACAGAUCCGCGAGGAGAUAGAGACCAAGGGGGUUCCUCAUCUUCAAACAAGAGAAAGAAGAAAUCUGAUGCUCGUGAUAAUGUGUAUUCUUCAUUUGAGGAGGCUGCCACCUUAUUGGGGGAAAAAAUCCAGGCCGUUGGCGAUAAAAUCAGUAUGAGUAUUGCCUCCGAGGUGGUAGUUCAGCAGAAGUCAGAAUAAAAGAUGGAAGAGAAAGCUUCAAAUUUAUAUUCAGCCUUAUGGUCAAUUGAAGGUUUAACCGACGAUCAGCGGUAUAAUGCUUUGAGUAAAAUUCCCGAUCAUCCAACUCAAAUGAUCGUUUUCUUCAGUUUACCUUCUGUUGCCCGAUUGGAAUGGGUCAGAAGAUUUCUUUCUCACCAUUAAAUAUCAAUGUUCAAACUUUUUGAUGUUGUAAAACUAUAUAACAUAUGGAUUACGAUGUACAAUUUCAUUUUCAUCUAACUUUUUCUUAGUAUAAGUUAAUUAUAUUUAUGCAGAAUAUAAUUCUCAAAUUAUCUUGAUCUUAGUAAAUUCAUAAGAACAUUUUAUGAAAUUAUAUUUAAUAAUAAUUAUUUUAAAUUGUAUUUAAUCAUAUAUUUUAAUUAAAAUAUAUUUAAUAUUAAUUAUAGUAUCAUAUAUUAUGAUUUGAAUAAAUUAUAUAAGAAUAUGAAUUAUUAAGAAUUUUAUUAAAUUAUAUAUUUUAAUUAAAAUAUAUUUAAUAAUAUUUAUGUUAAUUUAUAUUUUACAGUAUCAUAUAUUAUGAUUUGAGUAAAUUAAUAUAAGAAUAUUAAUUAUUAAGAAUUUUAUUAAAUUAUAUAUUUUAAUUAAAAUAUAUUUAAUAAAAAUUAUGUUUAAAUAUGAUUAAAUUAUUUAUUACUGAUAAUAAUAAUCUUAUUAAAAUUUAAAUAACAAUAACAAUAAUCAUUUACCAAAACAAAUUUAUGCUAAUUAUAAGAAUUUUAUUAAAUUAUAUAUUUUAAUUAAAAUAUAUUUAAUAAUAAUUAUGUUUAAAUAUGAUUAAAAUAUUUAUUACUGAUAAUAAUAAUCUUAUUAAAAUUUAAAUAACAAUAACAAUAAUCAUUUACCAAAACAAUUUUAUGCUAAGGGUAUUCUAGUCAUUUUAGUUUUUUCCAGUAUGCUAUUACACCUCUAUUCCAUUCAACCAAACACAAGAUUACUAUUACGCCUCUAUUCCAUUACAUUCAACCAAACAGUGGAUUAGCUAUUACACCUCUAAUCCAAUACACCUCUAAUCCAAUACAGCGAACCAAACGCACCCUAAGUUUCUAAGCACUUAGUGCACUUGGAUUAGCUUUUAUAUAUAGUGCACUAAUAAGUUAAAAAACAAAAGAUUAACCGACUUCAGAAAUUUAGUGUAGCAUUAAUUGUAGGUCCGGCGAAAUAUCCUUAAAGACAGUAUCCAACACGUCUCUAGUUAUUCAACUUGUAUUUUUUAUUCUUUAAAUUGAAUAUUUACAAGAAUGCAUACCAACACUUUUAAUUCUUUGAUUUCUAUUCAUAUAUAUUUAUAUCAUCCAUAUUUAUUCAUACAUUCAAAGUUGGGAGAGCUGUUGUGAUUUCAUGAGCUUGGAGUCUUAAUUUAAUCCCGACAAAACCUUAACAAAUCAUCAGCAAAUGAGAUUCAGUUACAACCGAUUGGAUGAUCAAAGAAUAAAAAUUGUUUCUAUAGUUACGCAUCGUAUCGUGAAGAUUCGAGAAUCCUAAAGGAAUAAUUGAUAAGGGAUUAGAUUGUAAAGGGAUUAAUAGAGGAUGUGGGUAACAUGGAAGCAAACUUUGACAAGUGUCAGACUAUGCUAAGAACAUUAGUUGAUAAUUGAUUGUUAGAAAAUGUAGGAAAUGGAAGAGUGAAAAUGCAUGAUUUUGUAAUAGAUAUGGCUAAACUAAUCACCAAUGAGUUAUAUGAAUCAUGAAUUAUUAUUGCAACUUUAACCUAUGUAUAAUCAAGCUCCAACAUUUAUAAUUUUUUAUUAACUAAAAUGAUACAAUAAAUCAAAAACAAUCAAAACUUAAAAUAAUUCAAAUUUAAUAAAAAUCAAAAUUAAAAUUAACUUUGUUGAUAUGGUAAUGCAACGAGAAGACAUGGGGAAGGACAUGGUUGUGAUUAUGGAGGUUGGUUCAUCCAGUCGGGAUAGAGAGCCAAAUACUAUAGAGAGUGAGAAUGAAGAGAUAUGCAAACAAAGUGUUGAGGGGAACUUUUUUCAUCGUUCUUAGAAGUAUUUAUUGACGAGGUCCUGUAACAGCCCGAUUUUGGGUCUAGUCGGAACAGUGGUUUCAGGACCACAAAUCCGACGAGGAAAAAUGUAAUCGCCUGAAUUUUCAGGGGUGUCGGAACGGUGAUUCGAGAUCAUUGAAUCCGACAAAUAAGUAGAAAAUAUUAUUAAUUUAGUGAGUAUAAGUUAAAUGUGAAGUUAAAAAUUUUUUUGAAAUAGUGAAUAGUGCACUAGAAAUAAAUAUUAAAAUAAUUAGAAUAAAACACGAGGUAUCGAGACCUCAGAGAUUUUAAACCGAGCCAUAAAUAUUUAUAAAAAAUAUUUAUGGAGUGUUAAAAAGUUAGUAUUAAAGUUUCGUUAAAAAAUUUUAAAGUUUCGAUAAUUAAUUGAACAAAAAGAACUAAAUUGUAACAAAUGCAAAAUUAUGAGAAAUGAUUAAAUAGCUUAAAUGAUAAAAAGAAGAGGGUUUAAAAGGCAAAUAGACCCAAUGUCUAUUUGGGUUGGACGGCAAAGACAUGAAAUCAGCAAGAAAGUAAGGAGAAUUAAGAGCAAAAUUGGAAUAUUGCAAAAUUACUUAAUAAAGCUAGGAUCAAAGUAGAAUUAUGGAGAUUUCUCUUUAUUUUUCUGCAUUCUCAUCAGCUAAAACACCAUAGAAGGGUUUUCUUAAGCUGGUUUUUCAUAUUUUUACUGCAAGUUCAAUUCUUGAUUAUUUCUUGAAAUUUUUGUGUUUUGUGACUUUUACAACUAGGCCCACUUGUUGAAUUCAUUAGUUUUUAAUUUUAUGAAAGAAGUUGAAAGUUGCUAUGAAUAUGUGCUGGAAGUAUAUGAUGAUUUAGAAUGGAAUUAGAGCUAUCCUCAGAGCACUAGUAGAUAAUUGUUUGUUAGAAAAUGUAGGAAAUGAAAGAGUGAAAAUGCAUGAUCUUGUUAGAGAUAUGGCUAAACUUAUCACUCAUAAGUUGUAUGAAUCAUGAAUUAACAUUGCAACUUUAACACAUGUAUUGUUAAGCUCCAACAUUUAUAUUUUAGAUCAAUUAAGAUCAUACAAUAAAAAACAACCAAUCAAAACUUAAAAUAAUUCAAAUUUAAUAAAAAUAAAACCCAAAAUUAACUUUAUUGAUAUAGAAAUACAAUAAAGAGGAGAUAUGGGAAAGGACAUGGUGGUGAUUUUGGAGGUUGAUUUACCCAGUUGAGAGCGGAGAGCUAAGGACUACAAAGAGUGAGAUUGAAGAGUGUAUAUAGGCAAAAUGUUGAGGGUAAGUUGAUAGAGUAUAUGUUUGUAUGUUUGGAGAGUCAAUCAUUUCUUCAUCGUUCUUGGGGGUAUUUAUUGUAGGGGGUCUUGUGAAGGUUGUUAACAUGCUAAAUUUGCCAUCUAACCAUCAUUACGGAACGUGUGGGGAGAUGGGAUGAGAAUGCCUGUGAUGAGACAGAAUUUGUUAUUCAUUAUAAUACAAUAGUGCAGAGUAGUUGAGCUCACACGAGAGUUGGUAACCAACAAUAUCACGUUUUUACCAAAAGGUCAAGGGUUCAAAGCAAUGAGUAGUUCGUGUUUGUCUAGAUAGUUAGGACGAGAGAUGAAACUUGGGGCAGCCUUUGAAAUAUAAUAAAAAGCCAAAAACAAAAACAGGUUAAAAUGGUAAAAGGCUAAUCCAUCGCAGCUUCUUUCUCUCUACCUACUGACGAUAAGCAGCAAAUUUCAGAAUAUUAAACAUGACAUCAUAUGCAUACAAAACUUAUAUAAAUUUAAAAUUCUUAAACACAAUUACGAAGUCAUAAAAAUACAAACUGUCUUUUAAUUAAAUAUGGUAGGUGCAUUAAUUUAAAAUUCUUAAAGGAGUUGAUAUAUAGGGAGAUUGAUAAAUCAGUUUUUAUAAUAUCAUCAUUCAUUUUAUUAUUAACAAUUAAUAAGAUACUUUUAAUAAUUAUUUUUUAUUUUACAAACAAUAUUAAAAAAUUAAUAUAUUUUUAUUUUUAAAAUAUUUUAACAACUGUGUAACCAAUAAUUUCAUUACAUUUAAAUAAAAAUAUCUUUUUCCCAUUCUUGAAAGCUUCAAUCAAGACUUCGGCUUAGUUUGGACAGACGGUGUGUUAACCUCCGGUGAGUAGGGGUAAGCAUUCGAUCGAAUCGAAUCGAAUCGAAUAAAAAAUUUUCGAGUUAAUCGAGUUUUCGAAUCUCAUUUUAUCAUCCUAACUUUAUUUGAAGUUUUCUCGAAUCGAGUCGAGUGAGAUGUAAUUCAAAUCGAAUCGAAUCGAAUAUAUUUGUUCGAGUUAAAUUUUAAAAAAUAAUUUUGGAUCCUUGUAACCAUUGUCACCCAUCGUAAUAAAAUUUGUCCACCUUAAUCAAAUUUUUUAUUAACUUUCAUCACCUCAUAAUUUAUUUAUUAAUUUUUUAUAUACUGGUUAGCUUAUUUGUUUGCUUAGUUGUUUCAAUUAUCUUCGGAUUCUUGUCACUAUGUAUUUUGGAAUUAAAAAUAUGAUUUUUUAAUAAAAUUUAUUUUAAAAAUAAAAUUUGAAAUUGAUACCAAUAUAAAAUUUUAACACGAAUAUUUUAUGGCAUAAUUAAGAAUUCAAUUUUAAUAUAAAUAUUCAAUAUGACUAAACAAUUCAAUAAUAUAAAUAAUAUAAAAGUGAAAUUUAAUUUAAUAAUAUAAAUAGUAUAUAUAAAUAAAAUUAUUACUAUUUAUGUUUAGUGAUUUUUUUUAGAUAAUUUUGAUUUUUUAUUUGAGAGUAAAGGAUGAGAAGUAAAAGUUUAGGGGGAAAAUAAAAAGUUUUGGGGAAUAAAAGUUUGAGGGAAAGUAAAUAGGGGGAGUAAAAUUUUGGAGGGAAAAUAUUUAAAAAAAAAAUUGGAGGGGGGAGGGUUUGGGGUAGAUGGGAGGUGGGAGGUGGGAUGGGAAGAGAAUAAAAGUUUUAGGGGAAAAGUGGGAGGGAGUAAAAAUUUUGGGGGAAAAUAAAAGGUUUUGAGGGUUUUUGAGAGUAAAAUUUUGAAAAAAAAAAUGAAUGGAAGAGUAAAAUUUUGGUGGGAAAUGGAUUUUGGGUAGAUUGGGGGGUUGGGCGGGGAGGGGAGUAAAAGUUUUGGGGGAAAAGUGGGAAGGAGUAAAAGUUUUGAGGGAAAAGUAAAAAAGUUUGGGAGUUUAGGGUAAAACUGUAAAAUAUUAUAGUUUGAUAUUCGAAUUAUUCGAAUUAUUCGAGUUAUUCGAAUUCGAAAACUCAACUCGAUUCGAACUCGAAAUUCGAAAAAAAAAUUCGAGUUGAUUCGAAUAACUCGAUUCGUUCAACUCGAAAUUCGAAUUUUUUUUCGAUUUUUUCGAGUCGAAUCGAAUUUUGCUCACCCCUACCGGUGAGGUAAAAAACAGCGGUGGCGAUGAGAAUAGUUACUGUAGCAGUGAGAUUAGAAACAAUAGUGGAAUGUGUGUUUGGAUUCAAACACAGCUGUAGCGGUGAGGUGAGAAUAAAAAAUGACUAUUAAAGACAUCAGAUUAGAAUUGAUAUGUAAUAGAAGUUUUUAAAUUAUUUUACUUUUAUAAAAUUAUUAAAAUAUGUGAAUUUAUAAAUUAAUUUAAUAAAAUAUUAAAAUGUGUCUUCCAAUAUUUUAUUAUAAAUAUUUUAAUAAAUUAUAUAAUCAAUUUAAAAUAUUUAAUAGAUAAAAUGAUAAUUAUUUUUAAUUUUUUAUAGUUAAAUAUUCUUUUAUAACAAUAAUAAAUAUUAUUUUCACAAAUAAUAACAUUAUACUUGGAUCAAAUUUUGAUGUAUCUAAACGAAUAAUUUUUAAUAAAAAAAAUAGUAACAUAAGACAUAACAAGUUUUAUUAUUACUAGAAAUUAAGUUAUGAUACAAAAUGUUUUUAUAAACAUGAAUUCAUUAUACUAUAAUACAAAUACACUCCGAACUUAUAGUACUCAAAGUUGUUCUUUUGAAUGAAAUUGAUGAACACUUUAACAGCAGGAGAGGUCUCGAUGAAACCCUUGAAAAAACCUUUAAAUUAAAUUUUUUUACCAUGGUACUUAAACUUUUCUUUUAACCUAAAUUGAUACAUAAAAUUAUAUUUCUGUUAACCAAUUCAGUCCACCAAAAUUAGAGUAUACCACGUGACGCUUCAGUUCAAUUAGAAAACUCCACGUGACAUUCAUAAGUACUAAAAGGAAAAAAAUAGAUUUAUAAAUUCUAAAACUAAAUAAAAAUUUUAAAUUUAAAAAUAAUUUAUCAAAUAAAAAUCUAAUUAAAAAUUUUAGUAAGCUAUCAUUUUAUUUUGACUCAACAUUGAUUAUAGUUGGCCUAAUAGUAUUUUUAAGUUUUAUAUUAUUUUUAGUUUUCAAAAUUUAACUAUUUUUUUAAUUCUAAAAUUUUGAUUAUAUUUUUUUGGUUUUUUUAAAACAAAUAUUUAAACUAUAUAUAUAUAUAUAUAUAUAAGCUCUAGAAAUCUGAAAUAAUUUAAAAAAUAUUUGUUUCAAAAAGGCAAAAAAACAGUAUAAUAAUUUUUUAAAAAAAUUGGAAAAAUAGUUAAAUUAUGAUAACUGAAAAGAAUAUAAAAGUUUUUAGAAAAUUUUUAAAAAAUUAAAAAUAUUUUUCACACAAUAUAUAUAAAUCUUAAAAUAAUUUUCUAAUAUAAAACUUGAAAAUACUAUUAAGUCAAAAUCGAUCAAUCCCGGUCAAUUUCAUUUCAAAGUCAAAUGCUAAUUUUCAAAAAUUUCUAUUUUAUAAAUUAUUUUUAUAAUUUUUAUUUAUUAUUAAACUUUUUUAGAAUUUAGAAAUUUAUUUUUAUUUUUAAUAGAUAUAGAUGUCAUGUAACACUUAAUUUCUAAUUGGAUUAAAGUGCCAUGUGACACAAUUUAAUUUGGCCACAUUUCAAUAAUUUUUUUAACAGUGGUGGACUGAAUUAGUUAACAAAAUGUAACUUUAGGAAUCAAUUUGGCCAAAAAAAAAUUCAGGUACUAAUAUGAGAAAAAUGAUAUACUUUAGGAGACAAAUAACAUGAACCUUUAUAUUAGGGGUUAGAUUACAUUUUGUCCCCUCAACUCAAAAAUAGACAAAUUAGUCGCUAUAUGUUAGAUUAAUGAGUAAAUUGGACAUUUUGUUAAAUUUUACAUCAAUUUCUAUUGAUAAAAUCUAGUUCUUGUACAUCAUCAUGAGAUACAUAUGACACACCACAUGUAAUUGUUUAGUUAUUACAUUAACCCUAUCAGUUUUUAACAUAUAUAUCACAGUAUAGUACCCGAACUUGACAACUUGUACCUACUUGACACUUUUUUUUUUACCUAAUUGGUUCAUGAACUUGAAAACUGCAAAUUAACUUAAAUUUUUAGAUACUUGACUAAUAUUGCCAAAUUUAUCAUCUUCAAUCAAUUAGAUUAUGCCAUGUAUAUUAAAGAACCAAGUAUAUUAUGUCACGUGUACAAAAAAUAAUUUAAUUUAAAUUUUUUUAAUUGUUAUUAAUUAAAAUAAAAAAACUUCUAAUUAAUUAACUGAUAUUUUAUGUCUACUUCCGUUUCUUCUUCUUCUUCUCUAAGUUUCAACCAAAUCUCUAGUCCGCCCUCGUUCUCUGCGCCAACAUUGCCGGCUCUCAGUUUGGGUAGUUUGAAUCAAGGGACUCUCUUCUCCCCUUUUAUUAUUUUUUUCUUUUUAUUGAUUAUUGGCUAUAGGUUUAUUGAGUCUUUGGUUGAGUGGUGGGCGACGAGUUUGAGGCUUGUUUUAGGAGGGGUCAGGUGAGUCAGGGUCGAUAAUCGUGCAUGUCACAACUGUAUUUUAUUCGGAUUAAGCUCAAUUCGAAUUACGUGUUUUUUUUUUAAAUUUCUUAGUUAUUAAUUAUUAUUUAUGGGGGACGGUUUUACAAAGGGAAGUUGAGUAAGAGAAGAAGGGGGAUUAUCUCUAAAAGAGAAGUCUAAAGACUACAGCUCCAUUUCUUUCACCUCCAUUGAGUCUCAUACUCUAAUUACUUACAUACUACCAUCAAAACCCCACACAUUUCCUCAACCUUGACCGUUAACCCGUCCCUGGGUUUGAAACAGUGAAAGCAUUCAACUUUGGUUACUGGACAGUGAUGAUUCCAAGGAAGACCGGUUUCCAUCAUAUUUGUGACCAAACAAAGAGUCUGCAACUUUAUUAAGGAGAAGAAAAGGAAAAAUUGAAGAGGCCUUCCUUGACUCGUGAUAUUCAAAUCUCAAAGUACCAUUAGUCCCAUUUGCAUUAUUUUCAUCCUUUACCUUCACCAUCAUCUUAUUAUCAUCAUCAUUUUCUAUGUUGUUGAAUGUCAUUCUGAUGUUGAAAUAUUAUGGAAAAUUUACGUGUGUCAUGUAGUAUAUAUAUUUGGACUAUUUUGGUCGAAACAUUUUUUUAAAUAUUUAUAUUAUUUCAAUAGUUAUAGUUGAAAAUUUUUAAAUGAUUUAAAAGUUAUAGCACUUGAUUAUUAAUCAAGAGUUUUUACUAUUUAUAAUGAUGAGUUAUAUUUUUUAUUGUUAAAAGUGAUAUUAUUUAAUUAUAUUUAUUUAAAUAUGAAUAAUUAUAUUUAUUAUAAAAAGAUGUAAUUGUCUAUAAUUGGCAGUUAUAAAUUUACGAAGAGACACAAAAACUCUUAUCAUUCAUUUGUUUAAUAGAAUAAAAUAAGAAACAAAAAUUUCUUUUCAUUCUCUUCCAUCUUUUGCUAUUUUUAAAUUGUUGUAUAAAAAUUUAAUGUAAAAAAUCGUUAUAGAAAUCAUGCAUAAAAUAAUAAAAUCAUGCACGCACUAACACUUAUCAAAUUAACUUGUAUCAUUAUCAUUGACGUUUAGCACAAACCUGCAUAAAAUCAUGCUUUUUCUUCCUCAAGUGUAUUUGUAAAAUAUUUUUUAUAAAAUAAUAAGAUAUCCUUUUGACACGAUAAUACUAUUGGAAGUCAUUGUUAGGAUUCUGUAAAAACUUUAAAUAAUUAUUCAUUGUGAAAAAAAAAUAAGAUUUUUAAAAUCCAUUUAAGAAUGAUUGCCGAAUUCAAAUAUUUGAUCUACUAUAGUUAAAUCCUAAAAGUAACUCAAAUUUAAUAGAAAAAAUUCCCAAAAUAAACUUAAUUUCUUGAAAUGUAAAUUAGUCUAAUCCAAAUCAAAUGAGGUAAUUAUCGCAUAGCAAAUGUCAACAUUUUCAUGAUACAUCAAAUAGAAAAAGACAAUAUAUAGCACUUAACCCAACUUAAUAAAAUUAUGAAAAUUGUAGGUGAAUUUUGAUUAAGUGAAUGCAGGGAGAGAAAAUCCAUUUGAGUUGAGUGUCAUUUCUAGUAGUGUGUGAAAUCGUAUUAUUUGCAACUUGUAAGUAAGGUGGUUUAUUUCAUCUCCUAACAAGUUAAUUCAAAGAAGUAUUUAUUAAAUUUCACAUUUUUAAAUUUUGCGGUGACUGUCUAUUUUUAUCCAUAUAUAUAAUCCCCAAACAUGUGUUCUAAAACUAGUUCACACCUAUUAGGCACAUGAAACUGUGGAAGAGUAAAAGAAUAAAAAUUGGACUUAUUCAACGGUUGAGUAAUUCGUUCGGUCCGAUAAGUUCGACUUAACUUUGGUAAUCAACUCAAAACUUUUAAAAUUCUAAUUAACUUAAAGUAUUUUGGCACUAAUUACGGCUAUAAUUGGAUGAAGGAUAUUUGCAAUAUUAUCACAUUAUGCACCUACAAAUAUAUGAUUCUAUUAAGAACGUUAACUUUGUCAACUCCGGGGUGAUUAAGUUAGAAAUAUAUAAUAAUAAAAUCAAUAGAAAACAAGCAAAAUGUCAAACAACCACAUUUUGAAAGUUUGAAAUUUAAUUUUCAACUAGAAUAUUCUAGGAUUUGCUUCUUCAAUUACAAGACCAUCACUAGUUUUUCUUUAAGUCACAUAGUUGUAUUUCUUUCCUUAUUCCAGUUCUUGAUUCGGUAUAUCUUUGCUAUAUAUUGUAUAUUUAUGAUAUCGUAGCCGCUUCUGUAGCUUAUUUCUGCGGUGUUCAUUUUAUAUUCAAAGCCAAUCAAUUCUUGGUCUCCGGUAUGUUUCACUUCAGCCUUUACUAAUAGGGAUUGGUAAUUUGAAGAUAGAAUUCUGAUGAUGGUUGGAUUGAUCUCUGUGAGGAUUCUUUGUUAAAUGGAUUCAGAAUGAGUGCAGGAUAUUGAAAUUAUUUCAUACAAGUAUUUUUAAUUUUCUUUAACAUCUAUAAUUUACAAUAUAGAAAAGAGAUUGCCAUUUUACUCGUGAGUGAAAGGCUUUUUAAUUAUGCCCCUCAAUUAUUGCUUUCAUUUCAUUAAUCGUUAGAUGAGAGCUUUUCUUGAUUUACAUGUCUCUAUAGAACCCACAUAUUUAAUAUCUUGUUAAAAAAUUUGUGGAAUCCAUGUAUGCACAGAAAUUUAGACCUGACAAUGCAUUCUUAGUUUCUAACAUAUUGCAUGUUAUGCAGCAUUCCUGACUGAGAGCUAUGGAUUAUUUUCUGAAUAAGAUUGAUAAACACUUGGACAAUCACAGAAGCCUCGAUCAGAAUAAGAAUGAGCUUAAAAGGAAAUUAAAUGAUUUGAACGGUCUGAAGGAAGACAUAGAAUCUAGACUGAGCUCAGAGCUGCAGCCAACAAAGAAACUAAAGAAAGGGGUCCAAAUAUGGUUGGAAAAUGUUGAAAGAAUCAAUGGCGAAAUACAAAGCCUUGAUGGAAGAAUCGGAGAAAGCAGUGCUCUUACACGUGGUUUCCACGCAAAAGAUGUGUUAAUGAGGAUGAAGGAAGUUGAAGAACAUAUUCAACAAGGCAAAUUUUGUGAAGGUUUGGUGGUUGACAAUCCUCGACGGAUUGGACAAGUUUUAUCGACUUCAACUCUAUCAGGUGAAGCUACGAAGUUAUGCAUCGAAGAAAUUUGGCAGUGCUUGAUGAAUGAUGAGGUUCGAAAAAUUGGAGUUUGGGGGAUGGGAGGAGUAGGGAAAACAAGCAUUAUGAAGCAUAUAAACAAUCGACUCUUGAAAGAGACCCACAAGUUCGAUGUUGUGAUUUGGAUCACUGUAUCAAAGGAGAUGAGUCUUGCUAAACUGCAGAAAGACCUUGCAAGUAAACUUGAUGUAAAAUUUUCUGGCAAUGAAUGUGAAACAACAAGGGCAGGGAUGUUGUUUGAAACAUUGUCUUUCAAGUUCAGUAGGUUUGUGAUCAUCUUGGACGAUGUAUGGGAGAAGGUUUCCUUUGAGCAGGUAGGAAUCCCUGAGUCAUCUAAUGGGAGUAAAUUAGUGUUAACAACGCGAUCACUUGAUGUGUGUCGACAUGUGGGUUGUAAUAGAGUAAUUCAAAUAAAGCCUCUUGCUGAAGAAGAGGCAUGGAACUUGUUCUUGGAGAUUGUAGGUGGGAAUAUUCUAAAUAUUCCAGGAUUGGAACCAGUUGCAAAAUCAAUAACUAAGCAUUGUGCGGGUUUGCCCUUGGGAGUAAUAGUUGUAGCUGCUUGUAUGAAGGGACUUGAUGACCUUUUUGAAUGGAGGAAUGCGCUAAAGGAACUAAGUUUAGCAAGACAAAGUGUUAAUGGAUUGGAAGAUGAGGUGAUCCAACAAUUGCGAUUUAGUUAUGAUCGUUUAAAGGAUCAAAAACUUCAACACUGUUUCCUCAACUGUGCCUUAUAUCCUGCAGAUUUUGCAAUCAGAGAGAUAGAUCUUGUUCAUCUUUGGAUUGCAGAAGGGCUUGUCGAAGAAAUGAACAGUAGGCAAGCAGAGUAUGACAAGGGUUGUGCAAUAAUGAAUAGACUCAUAAACAACUGUUUGUUAGAAGUUCCUACGGAAACAGAAAAUGGAAGAUGUGUAAAGAUGCAUGAUCUUGUAAGGGACAUGGCAUUACAUAUCACAUGUGGAACACCUCGAUUCUUGGUAAAAGCUGGCAUGAGAUAAACGGAGCCACCAGAUAUACAAGAAUGGAGAAAGGACCUAGAAAAAGUUUCAUUGAUGGAGAAUUGGGGGUUACAGCUUCCCUAUCCUUUGGAAAUAUUGCCACCAAAGUGUCCGAUGCUCACAACACUAUUGUUUUCUGGUUGUAAUAUACAAAGCAUUCCAGAAGGCUUCUUCAAGCAUAUGCACGGACUCAAGAUUCUUGAUCUUUCUGCAAAUCCUAUCAAGAAUCUCCCAGAUUCCAUUGCUAAUUUGAAGAACCUCACGGCGCUAUUGCUUCGUCAUUGUCGAAGUUUAGAGAAGGUGCCAUCAUUGUCAAAACUUAAAGUCUUGAAGGAGUUGAAUCUUGAAGCAACAAGUAUCAAGGAAAUCCCUUGUGGGAUGGAAAACUUGUUGAAACUCAAUUACCUGAAUUUGAAUGGUAUAGGAGACCUAUAUGAGAUUCCUGAUCGAGCAUUAUCAAAACUUUCUUGCCUUCAAGACUUGAUUGUUGGUGAAACAGUGAUAAGUGGAGAAGAUGUUGGUGGAUUGAAGAAACUGGAAAUUCUUAAAGGGAGGUUUUUCGACUUGCACAACUUAAAUGCGUAUGUCCAAGCUUUACAUGGUCGAGAAGAACCUCUUGAAUACAUCAUCCGCGUGGGUGAGCGAGGAUGGGUGGAGCAAAUUAAUACAAGAAAGUACAUAGAGUUAUGUGGUUGUAAUAUCUAUACCAAUCAGAUUAUACUUCCACAUGUUGAGGAGUUAUACAUUAAGGAGUGCAAUCUCAAUUGUAGCGAAGGGUAUCCUCUUUUCUCCAGGUUUAUUCUAAUCUCACUUAGCACAUUCUCCUCUCUUAAAUUUCUUGAUAUAUAUAAUUGUAAAAGCAUAAAAAAAUUGUUCUCUCCAAAUUGCUUGCCGCUAAAUUUACAAGAGCUUAGCGCAUCGGAGUGUAACAUGCUAGAGGAAAUAAUAGCAAUAGAACUUGGAUGGAAUCAAAGUGAAAAGGCUACUAUGGAGUUUCAUUUACCACAAUUAAGGUUAUUUUCACUAUGGAAUCUACCAAAGUUGAAGAGUAUUUGCAGUGUUAAUGGAGUAAUCGUUUGUGAUUCACUUGAAAUAAUUGAGGUAAGAAAUUGUCCGAAAUUAAAAAGAAUGCCUCUUAAUCUUUCCCAACUUGAUAAUAUUAGACUUCAACCAUCUGGCCCUCUCUCUCCUCUUAUUUGUAUAAAGCCAGAAGAGUGGUGGGAAUCCGUGGAAUGGGAUCAUCCAAAUGCCAAAUCUAUUUUAGAGCCCUUGUUGAGGUCUUGCUGGUAGUGUUGAAUUUACAUUUAACUCCAAUGAUUUUUUUUUUUCAAUUAACUUCUAAUUGCUAUUUGUAUUCUAAAUUUUGUACAAGUGGAAUAGAAAUUCCUCACUUUGGAAUUAUGGAAAAACCAACUGAAACUUUUACUUGUUCAAAGCCGAAACAUGGUUAUAAUUUCUUUCAUGAAAACUAUUACGUGAAUUCAUGUUUUUAGUGGUGGAGCUUUAUAUAAAUUUAUGUUAUGACUGAAUAAUUGUAGGAUUGUAUUAAACUAUUUCGAAGCUGGAAGCAGCAUAUUGCGGGUUAACGUGCAGCAAAUGUGUAACAUUUUAGCAGUUAAGGUGUGAUUGUUUUAAGUUAAAUUGAAUCUAAGUUAAUUAAAGAUGUAAUUGAGUUGAGCCUAAAUGUUGAAACAGUGAAAAAACUAAUUUUAAAUUUUAUUAGAAUUGAAUUUGAUUAAGUUUUAUUUUUAUAAUGUGAAAAGAUGUUGAUUUAGUAAAGAACUAAUUGAAGCAUAGAAAAAAAUAUGACUGAAGGGAUAAUUUAAUUCAUUAACAAAGUAGCCCUUAUAUAAGUGUCAAGUAACAACUUCAACAAAAAAUUCAAAUUGCUACUCCUACUAACAAGCUAACAAAAUCAACUUAGGACUUAGUCUUUUUUUUGAAAAAAAAAAUAGAUGCAACCUUGAGACACCAACAUUCUUCUCGUAACUCAAGUGUUGCAAACACCAAGUUUAUUCUUAAGAAACUCAAAUCGACUAACAUGAAAAAUUUACUGAAAAUAUCUGUCAUCUGAUCCUCUGAUUUGCAAUAAACUAAUAUCUUCAAUAUUCGCCUUCUAUGAAUUCCUUCUCAACUAGUGUAGCUUCAAGAGUUGCCUCCAAUUGUUUCCUAGCGUGCAACUCCAUUUGCAUCAAAAUUUCCAUAAUUCAAAAUCAUCACAAGCUGUUCUAGAAAAGUCAUGAGAGUGGUUAGAGUGCCACUCUUCUUCCAAGUUCUUGUGUUGUCACUAUACUUGAGAUUAAUACCAUUUAUAGUUUGAUUAACAAAUCUUCUCACAGUUAAUAAUUCUUUUUUCAAUUUUGCAUUUUGCACUGAAAGCUGGAUCAGCUUAACAACUAAAUUCUUAAACUCAACAACAUCUACAGAUGUCAAUUCUUUCGCAUAUGAAGCUUCUUCAGUCAGCUUUUGAUUUUGGAAACCUAACCCACUAUUCUCUUCUGAAAGUUGCACAUUACUCUUGAUUUCCUGAGAUAGAAUUUUUUUUUCCGUAGCUAAUCAACAGGUUCUUCAAAUAUUUCUUGUGCAAAAGAUGAUAGUUUAUCAUCAGAGAGAGAUGUCAACUGCUGCCCCAAGAGAUUUACCUUUGUCUACAACUCCUCAUUCUCAAAACACUUGAUUUGCAGUUGUUCUUGAAGAAUACGAUUCUCUGCCAAUUUUAUUUGAAGCUCAAAGCUUUUUUUAUUACAUUGUGUCAUCAAUUUUAUAAUUGUUUGUUGCAUUGAUGUCAUUUUUUCCUGACAAUUGGAUGCCACUUGCUCCUCCUCAAGUGGAUUCAAUGAGAAACUUUUCUUCUGCAUCUUGAUCCUAAACAAUUCAUUGCCACUAGAGUCAAGGAUCAGGCCCUUCCCUCUUCGACUUUAAUGACCUGUCAAGGUCUUUAAACAGCUUCUCAUCGUAAGACAUGUGAUUGGUACAACCACUAUCAACUAACCAACUGUCACAUAGAGUGCUUGAUGAGAAGCAAGAGACAACAAACAAAUGGUCUUCUUCUUCUUUAACUGCAACAUGUGCUCCACCUUGCUUCUGAUUUCCCAGUUCCUUGCAGAACCUCUCAAUGUGCCCCAUCAAGUUGCACCUUUUGCAUUUCACAUCUGGCCUUCUCCAACACCUGAAAUGGGGAUGAUUCUAUUUUCCACAAUACUUACAUGAAGAAUACUUAUUAUAAUUUUCAGUACUAUUACCUUUUGCAAUAGUUUCUAAACCACUAUUGCAAUCACUCUUCUUCUCAUUCCACUUCUAUUCCUCUCCUUUUUCGCCUUGCUGCAUCUUAGCCUUCAAUGCUUCUUUCUAUGCUUCCUUCGUGCCUCAUAAGCCUCUUUUGCUCUUGUGCUUGUAAAACACUGAUCAACUCCACUACUCUCAACUGAGUCAAGUUCUUAGUGUUCUCCAAAGAGGCAAUUGUUGCUUCAUAUUUCUCAUAGACACGUAUUUUCUGCAAGAUAUUUCUUUUUCUUUUUCUUUUUGAAAGGUACUUAGAUGGCGUAUCAAUAAGAACUUUUUGAGUACUUUAAAUCGUAAUCUAUUUUUUUAGACACUAAACUUUAAAUUAACUUUUAAAGAGCCCACUUUUAAAACAAAAAAAGCUAUGAAAUAUUGAUACCUACGCAACAACCCUUUGAAAUAUAAUAAAAAGGCAAAACAAAAACAGGUUAAAAUGGUAAAAGGCUAAUCCUUCGCAGCUUCUUUCUCUCUACCUACUGGCGAUAAGCAGCAAAUUUCAGUAUAUUAAACAUGUUAUAUAAAUUUAAAACUCUUAAACACAGUUACGAAGUCAUAAAAAUACAAACAGUCUUUUAAUUAAAUAUGGUAGGUGCAUUAAUUAAAUCUCAAUGGCCACCGAAGUUGACUUAAAGGAGUUGAUAUAUAGGAUUGAUAAAUCAGUUUUUAUAAUAUCAUCAUUCAUUUUAUUAUUAAAAAUUAAUAAGAUACUUUCUAAAAUUAUUGUUUAUAUAUUUUUAUAUUAGACAUAUUGAUAAUUUAUUUUUUAUUUUACAAACUAAAUUAAAAAAUUAAUAUAUUUUUAUUUUUUAAAUAUUUUAACAACAGUGUAACCAAUAAUUUCAUUACAUUUAAAUAAAUAUAUAUUUUCCCCAUCCUUGAAAGCUUCAAUCAAGACUUCAUAAAAGACCAGGCCCCCUUGUUAGUUUACAAAAAAAGGGAGCUUCGGAAAUGGAAGUGGAGUCUGUCUUGCUUGCUUUGCUGUUGAUAAAUGCCCUUACGUUUUCGCAGCUUAAUCUGGCAGUUGAGGCGGCUGAGUCUGUUCCUCUAUCACCAUCGGAUGAUUUCUCGAAAGAGUUGAAAGCUUUAUCUAGGAGGAGUCGGCGAAUAACUCCACCAUCACCCAGGAUUAAUGCUCCUGUUCACUUCAAAAGCCCUCCUCCAUCACCUCGACCUCCUCCGCCGCCACGGUCACCACCACCUCCAUGUCUGUGGCGUCCACCUACUGCGUUUGGAUAAGACGAUUGUUUCCCAGGUUACACACAGUUGAUGAAGCUCUCAUGUCAUCAGCUUUUGUUUGUAAAUUGUAAAACUUUAAAGUGCUUGUAUGUUAGCAGCAAAUACCAACUUUGUUUAGCUCUGAUAAUAAUUAAAUUUGUAAUGAUAAAAAUAAUAAUAUGUUAAAUAUAAAAAUGAAUAAAUGUAUGCAUCACUUUCACUUAAACACUCUUUAAGAAAUUGUUUAAUAAGUAUCCCUUGUCUUCCCUUCCCAUCUCUUUGAAGUCUCCCGACCAUCUCUAUAUGUAGCAUAAAUGAUGAGCAGCCCUCCAUCAACGAGGACCCGGGUCCUCAAAGGCCAACUCAAAAAAGCAUCUCAAUCUAAGAGAGGAGGGUAGCCUUUUCAGUGCAGUGCUUUCAGGGUUGAAUGAGCAUCGAGGUCUUUCGAGAUUGGGGUUUUCUCGUAGGAAAAAAAUGAAAAAAUCAUCUUGAUAAUAGUCCUUUUAUAGAUCGGGUGGACAAAGGAAUAGCAAGCCUUUGGAAGGAAGAAAAAGCUAACAUAUGGACGAAGAUCGGGUGAAUGAGAUAAUUCCCAGAUUCAUUUCAAAAACCUCGAGAUUAGCCUUGGCCGAACACAGGUAAACCGUCCAGACCCCACUCAAACCAUAGUCCCCUCAAAGGCCAACUCAAAAACAACAAUCUCUACGUCUAUGGAGCCUGGACUGCAGAAACUGAGAAACCUCCAAUUCCAAGCUCCCUGGUUCGGUGCAACUUGGACUUUCUGGGAAGGGCAUUAAAUACCCAACCAACAUAUUUAUUUUGGCCACUUCACUCUAGAGGGAUCAUGGGCCGAGUUUGUGCCGGGUUCAGAUAAAAUUUUAGGCCCGUUUUAUUAGCCCGGAUCUGACUCGGUCUGGCCCAAAAUAUAGAUAUAAAAAUUUAUUUAAACUUGGCCCGAAAAAAUUAUUAAGCCG
RNAcentral lists this long non-coding RNA (25838 nucleotides) under Gossypium barbadense (sea-island cotton). RNAcentral's name for it is "long non-coding RNA (GBAR_LNC021222)". Lineage: Eukaryota; Viridiplantae; Streptophyta; Magnoliopsida; Malvales; Malvaceae. The record is from RNAcentral.